This 253-nucleotide ribosomal RNA is filed under the name uncultured bacterium. RNAcentral's name for it is "partial 16S ribosomal RNA". It matches the Rfam family "Bacterial small subunit ribosomal RNA", at positions 524 to 776 of the family's 1533-position model. The record is from RNAcentral.
UACGAGGGGGGCAAGCGUUGUUCGGAACUAUUGGGCGUAAAGGGUGCGUAGGCGGUCUGACAAGUCUGCUGUGAAAUCUAUGGGCUCAACCCAUAGUCUGCAUCGGAAACUGUCGGGCUUGAGUAUGGGAGAGGUGAGUGGAAUUUCCGGUGUAGCGGUGAAAUGCGUAGAUAUCGGAAGGAACACCUAUGGCGAAAGCGGCUCACUGGACCAUUACUGACGCUGAGGCACGAAAGCUAGGGGAGCAAACAGG